CGCGCAGGCGGUCGUUCAAGUCGCGUGUGAAAGCCCCCGGCUCAACUGGGGAGGGUCACGCGAUACUGAUCGACUCGAAGGCAGGAGAGGGUAGUGGAAUUCCCGGUGUAGUGGUGAAAUGCGUAGAUAUCGGGAGGAACACCAGUGGCGAAGGCGACUAACCUGGCCUGUUCUUGACGCUGAGGCGCGAAAGCUAGGGGAGCAAACG
RNAcentral lists this ribosomal RNA (208 nucleotides) under uncultured bacterium. Its description in RNAcentral is "partial 16S ribosomal RNA". It matches the Rfam family "Bacterial small subunit ribosomal RNA", at positions 568 to 774 of the family's 1533-position model. The record is from RNAcentral.